RNAcentral lists this long non-coding RNA (1013 nucleotides) under Homo sapiens (human). RNAcentral's name for it is "HSALNT0278014". The record is from RNAcentral. Lineage: Eukaryota; Metazoa; Chordata; Mammalia; Primates; Hominidae.
UCAAGAAACGCUCACCAGGAUUAUGAUCAUACGGCCAUCUGCAACCAAUUCCCCGGCUGCGUGCGCGAGCCCUGUGUGCUUUCCAGUACCACGUGGGGGCGUUCUCCUCUGUCCCUUACUUUCUCUACCCCCUGCCUCCCCGACCCAAAGCUCAAGUCUGAAGGGGGAUUUCUUGCAGGGAAGCAGUGGUAUACAGAGUUCUGCAGGAAAAUGAGAGCUUCUAGUCUCUCCUUCUCCCUUCUGUGAAACAGGAGAGGAAAUCCUCCCUCCCUCUUGGGAAUUACUGAGUGUUUCUCAGACUCCAGCUGAGUCUCCAGUCCCUAGUUCCUCAGAGACCCAGAUGAAUUAAAGUUGUAAGUAAAUUAGGAAUCGUUCAUUAUUUGAUGGCUGGGAUCCUUUGGCAGGUGGAGUGGUGGAGGAGGGGAGGUGGGGCCAUCUUCCUGCUGGGCUCAAAGAUUCUCUCCGGAGAGGUGUGUUUGGCCCAGGCCAGCCCAGGGGCCUAAGAGAGAGAGCCGGCCCCCACUCCUCCUGCUCAGAAAGAUCCUUCCCACAGUCUCAGAUACCACUGUCUUCCUGGACAAUCUUGCAAGAGGCCUUUUCUCUCUCAGCCUUAGUUUUCUCAUCUGCAAAAUGUGUGAAAACUCACAACCUUUUCAUCGAGAUGGGUAACGAAAACAUGAGAAAACUGGAAGUGCUUUGGUUUGGCUCAGCUGAGGACAUUACUCCAAGCCCGCCCAGGCUCUCCCCUCCGGCCUGGAUUCGUUUCUGUGUCAACACUCGCCCAGCCUUGCACAGCCGGGCACACGGGCGUCUCCCUCUGCAGUGGUUCCCCGACUUGUCGGCCAUCUUCGCUGGUGGUGUUUUCCUUGGUCACUGUGGUUAUUUGAAAGCGAUGUCAAAGCAAACACUGCUCUCUCUCCCUGAAAACCCCUGGCAGGAGCUGCCUUUCUCACCGUCCCUGUCCUUCGUCUCCUCCUGUCCCUUCCUUCCUGCCGCAGCCUCUUCCCUCAAUC